AACGCACAUUGCGCCCUUUGGUAUUCCUUAGGGCAUGCCUGUUCGAGCGUCAUUUAACGACUCAAGCUCAGCUUGGUGAUGGGCGCCUGUCCCCCCCGCCCCAUGCGGGGGACUCGCCUCAAAGUCAUUGGCGGCCGUCACGUUGGCUUCGAGCGCAGCAGAAACGCGAUACUCGAGGUCCGGCGGGACGCGCCCCCCAGGAAGUUCCUUUCUCAGUUUGACCUCGGAUCAGGUAGGGAUACCCGCUGAACUUAA
Molecule: unclassified non-coding RNA, 255 nt
Filed under: uncultured Sporormiaceae
Lineage: Eukaryota; Fungi; Ascomycota; Dothideomycetes; Pleosporales; Sporormiaceae
Description: sequence contains ITS2
Source: RNAcentral